RNAcentral lists this ribosomal RNA (253 nucleotides) under uncultured bacterium. RNAcentral describes it as "partial 16S ribosomal RNA". It matches the Rfam family "Bacterial small subunit ribosomal RNA", at positions 524 to 776 of the family's 1533-position model. The record is from RNAcentral.
UACGAAGGGGGCUAGCGUUGCUCGGAAUCACUGGGCGUAAAGCGCACGUAGGCAGAUUGUUAAGUCAGGGGUGAAAUCCUGGAGCUCAACUCCAGAACUGCCUUUGAUACUGGCGAUCUUGAGUCCGGGAGAGGUGAGUGGAACUGCGAGUGUAGAGGUGAAAUUCGUAGAUAUUCGCAAGAACACCAGUGGCGAAGGCGGCUCACUGGCCCGGUACUGACGCUGAGGUGCGAAAGCGUGGGGAGCAAACAGG